Molecule: ribosomal RNA, 495 nt
Filed under: uncultured bacterium
Lineage: Bacteria
Description: partial 16S ribosomal RNA
Rfam family: Bacterial small subunit ribosomal RNA
Source: RNAcentral
GACGAACGCUGGCGGCGUGCCUAAUACAUGCAAGUAGAACGCUGAAGGAGGAGCUUGCUUCUCUGGAUGAGUUGCGAACGGGUGAGUAACGCGUAGGUAACCUGCCUGGUAGCGGGGGAUAACUAUUGGAAACGAUAGCUAAUACCGCAUAACAGUAGAUAUCGCAUGAUAUCUACUUAAAAGGUGCAAUUGCAUCACUACCAGAUGGACCUGCGUUGUAUUAGCUAGUUGGUGAGGUAACGGCUCACCAAGGCGACGAUACAUAGCCGACCUGAGAGGGGGAUCGGCCACACUGGGACGGAGACACGGCCCAGACUCCUACGGGAGGCAGCAGUAGGGAAUCUUCGGCAAGGGACGGAAGUCUGACCGAGCAACGCCGCGUGAGUGAAGAAGGUUUUCGGAUCGUAAAGCUCUGUUGUAAGAGAAGAACGAGUGUGAGAGUGGAAAGUUCACACUGUGACGGUAUCUUACCAGAAAGGGACGGCUAACUACGUG